Molecule: long non-coding RNA, 1344 nt
Organism: Brienomyrus brachyistius
Lineage: Eukaryota; Metazoa; Chordata; Actinopteri; Osteoglossiformes; Mormyridae
Exons: 2
Source: RefSeq, a predicted model, not a curated record
UAGAAUAACGGGGUUAUAUGGUUGCAAUAAUACGGACCGCAUUUUCCGGGUGCCCUGAUUGUCACACACAACAACCAAUAGAAUCAAAGGCGGGUGUUUAAAUGAAAAACAUCUGACCAAUAGGAAUGAGCUUCAGACACGUGGGCCGCCAACGUGACAACGUGAAACACUUGCGAGUAAACGCUGCGGAGUAUGACCGUUCAUGCUGUUUACUACAAUGUUUUGUUAAAUAUUUAAACAUAACUUUACCUGUUUAUGUUUCUGCAAAGUGUAACGCUGCUGAUUUGCACUCGUCACUGUAUGCGUUUUAUUUUAAAAGGGCAAUCAAAGUUGGGUUCCCCUGUCCUCCAGUCCAGCUGGGGGCGCUACUUGAACCACCUGGCACCUCACUGUCUUUGAACACAUAUUAGCAGAUAUAUAGUCCAGCAAUUUCAUCGUAUGUACAAGAUCUCUUAACCUUAUAUGUUUUUCAAGGUGGCUGUAGUGUAGCACAUCAACUAAUUUGGUGAUAGUAUUUUUCAUCAUCUAAGUCAGGCAUACAAGUAAAACCAUGCAUCUUAAUUGAAUGUUAUGUUAAUAUAAACAGCCAAUUCCCUUGACAAACUCUAGGUGGCCCUCUCAUAUGUAAAGGUCAUGCCCCGGUCAAAAGAGACCCCCGAGGAUGUCAGGAUGAGUAUUGUAAAUGCUCACGAGUCUGGAGAGGGUUAUAAAACCAUCGGCAAACGUUUUGGGAUUCAUCGGUCCACCGUACGACAAAUAGUCUAUAAGUGGAAAAAAUUCAAGACGACAGAGACUCUACCUAGAUGUGGACGUCCGACAAAGUUAUCCCAGAGAGCACUAAGGAAGAUCAUGCAGGAUGUGCAAAAGAACCCCAAGACCACAUCCAAGGAUCUGCAGGCCUCACUUGCUGCAGCUGACGUCUACGUUCAUGACUCGACUAUACGACGCAGGCUGAAUAGCAGAGACGUACGGCAAAGGUUAUUCAACAGGAAACCUUCACUCUCAAAGAAGAAUACUGACAUCAAGUUAGGAAAAACUUGCCAGCAUGACCUCAGCACAUGGAACAAGCAGGUAAAAGCUGGAGAAACCUUCCAAGAGUGUGAGCUGCUGGACCAGCCCAUCAGCGUGCAAAACACCUGUGAUGAAUACCAAGAGAAACUUGCAAAACAAGGUCCUGACUCAACAGCUUAGAAUCCACAGGUGGAGUUGUAUAAGAUAUAAAUUAAUCCUAUUGUGUAUCAGUGACCGAGGGAUGCAAUGUAUGACCCCUAAAGUUGCAAGUUGUCAUGGUAAACUCUGCUUUGUUCCAAGUAUAAUAUUAGUAAAUAAAUCAAUUUCAGAGAA